UCCACCUGAGACUCGGUGGGAAGGGUCUGUAUAGGUUACUUAGCUCCAAAUAGGUGACAAGCAUUGAGAAGGACUCUUCUGAUUCCUCCUACAAGCCUGUGAGCGGCACAUAUUGACCCUCAUUUUACAGAUGGGAAAACUGAGGCUCAGAGAAGGCUCCUGCAGGCUACACAGCGAGUCUACAGCCUGAUCCAGGCAACCUCAGGAUCUGGUCCCAGGCGUGGGGAGAACCAUCCUUAGGAAUGUUGUCCUGUCGCAAACCUGAGAGGCUCCGGUCGCCCUCAAGUGAAGGGACCAAAGCUGACAGAUAAGAAGCUGCUCUCUGAAGUCACACAUGAAGACAUGUCAGAGGUAGGGCUUGACCCAGGUGCACUGAGGCCUAAGCUCCCGCCAGUCCUGACCUUGGAUCCCAGAAGAUGUUGUGAGGAUGGGGAGGACAGGGUGCAGAACAGGCCUGUCUGGGGUUGGGGAAGGAAACUCAGGUGUCUGGUCACCACCAAUACAGUUGAAGGGUACCUGGGGGUUCAUGCCAAUUUUCUGUGACUGGGUGUGGGAUGAAGGUGUGGGGUCCAGAGAGCUUAAGUAAUAUUCCCCAGGUCACAUUCCCAGUGCUGCCAAGCUGGAACACAACGAACAUUUCCUGAGCACCUGCUGAAUGUCAGGAAGGGAAAAGGCACAUGCUAUACAGGGCAGCAGCCAGGAUGCGUUGACUGAUGCAAGGCUGGACGGUGGCAUUCCAGGGAGGGGACACCUUGGGUGCAAAGGCCUGGAGGCGUGAUCUAGACGCUGGAGCAACACCGAGAAAUCAGGGGGCGGUUGUGGCUCAGGCUC
Non-coding RNA from Odocoileus virginianus texanus, 831 nucleotides. NCBI's taxonomy places the organism in Eukaryota, Metazoa, Chordata, Mammalia, Artiodactyla, Cervidae. The record is from RefSeq and is a predicted model, not a curated record.